GAGUUUGAUCGUGGCUCAGAGUGAACGCUGGCGGUAGGCCUAACACAUGCAAGUCGAACGGUAACAGGUCUUUCGGGAUGCUGACGAGUGGCGGACGGGUGAGGAAUACAUCGGAAUCUGCUCAGUCGUGGGGGAUAACGCAUGGAAACGUGCGCUAAUACCGCAUACGACCUUCGGGUGAAAGCAGGGGAAUCUCUCGGGAUCCUUGCGCGAUUGAAUGAGCCGAUGUCGGAUUAGCUAGUUGGUAGGGUAAAAGCCUACCAAGGCCACGAUCCGUAGCUGGUCUGAGAGGAUGAUCAGCCACACUGGGACUGAGACACGGCCCAGACUCCUGCGGGAGGCAGCAGUGGGGAAUAUUGGACAAUGGGGGCAACCCUGAUCCAGCCAUACCGCGUGGGUGAAGAAGGCCUUCUGGGUUGUAAAGCCCUUUUGUUGGGGAAGAAAAACAACGGGUUAAUACCCCGUUGGUAUGACGGUACCCAAAGAAUAAGCACCGGCUAACUUCGUGCCAGCAGCCGCGGUAAUACGAAGGGUGCAAGCGUUACUCGGAAUUACUGGGCGUAAAGGGUGCGUAGGUGGUUGCGCCAGUCUGUCGUGAAAGCCCUGGGCUUAACCUGGGAAUGGCGAUGGAAACUGUGCAACUAGAGUGUGACAGAGGGUGGUGGAAUUCCUGGUGUAGCAGUGAAAUGCGUAGAGAUCAGGAGGAACAUUCGUGGCGAAGGCGGCCACCUGGGUCAACACUGACACUGAGGCACGAAAGCGUGGGGAGCAAACAGGAUUAGAUACCCUGGUAGUCCACGCCCUAAACGAUGCGAACUGGAUGUUGGGUCCAACUUGGGAUUCAGUAUCGAAGCUAACGCGUUAAGUUCGCCGCCUGGGGAGUACGGUCGCAAGACUGAAACUCAAAGGAAUUGACGGGGGCCCGCACAAGCGGUGGAGUAUGUGGUUUAAUUCGAUGCAACGCGCAGAACUCUUACCUGGCCUUGACAUGCACGGAACCUUU
Molecule: ribosomal RNA, 1003 nt
Filed under: uncultured Lysobacterales bacterium
Lineage: Bacteria; Pseudomonadati; Pseudomonadota; Gammaproteobacteria; Lysobacterales
Description: bacterial SSU rRNA
Rfam family: Bacterial small subunit ribosomal RNA
Source: RNAcentral